This 555-nucleotide ribosomal RNA is filed under the name Triticum aestivum (bread wheat). RNAcentral describes it as "partial small subunit ribosomal RNA". Lineage: Eukaryota; Viridiplantae; Streptophyta; Magnoliopsida; Poales; Poaceae. The record is from RNAcentral.
GAACUUUUUAAUCAUUGUUUGUUAGCCAAGCAAGCCUGGCGUAUUCUUCAAUGCCCGGAGACUUUAAGUGCUAGAAUCUUGAAGGCGGUAUAUUUUCCAUCAACAUCUAUAUUACAUGCUGAACUUGGUGGCCACCCUUCUCAAAUUUGGAGGGCAGUGCUUAAGGGGAGUGACAUCCUCAAACAAGUCUUGAUACGUCGAAUUGGUAAUGGAAAUACCACAUAUAUUUGGGGUGGUAAUUGGCUUUCGAGAUCAGAGAUGUUGAGACCUUAUGGAUGCAGAACAAUGAACCCACCAAAGUUUGUCUUAGAGUUAAUUGAUGUAACAUUGACAAUAUGGAGGCCAGAUCGUGUUGCGGAGGUAUUUAUAUCCAUUGAUGUACCGGUUAUCUUGGGGAUACCUCUCUGUACAAGGAACUUGGAUGAUUCAUGGGCAUGGCAUUUUGCAAAGAACAGCACGUUUUCAGUAUGGUCAACCUAUAGAAUGUUGAUAGACGCAAGGAGGAGAAGAGAAGCCUGGUUGGAUGGGAAUCCCGGUUCAUCUAGUACUCACUAG